Long non-coding RNA from Mytilus californianus (California mussel), 2512 nucleotides. RefSeq lists it as uncharacterized. The transcript has 4 exons. The record is from RefSeq and is a predicted model, not a curated record. Lineage: Eukaryota; Metazoa; Mollusca; Bivalvia; Mytilida; Mytilidae.
AUUAUUUAAACGUGUUAUAAAAGCCGACAACUUUGAGUACAGGAAGUUUAGACGUUGCUACGAUAAACAGUGAGAAUAGUAAAACAGUAAUGAGCCGAAGACAACCUUUACAGAGACACAGUAUGGCAAGAGUUAGUUUUGACACGAGUACUGAUACUGAAAGCAGUAUUGCGGACACAGAGGAUACAGACGACAGACGAUCGAGGACAAGAUUUCCACCCAUAGGUCAAAGUCAAAGUCCUGAUCAUUUCUGUAUACAAGGCAGUGGCAUUGGUUAUUCUUCAGAGACUCGGUUAGAUGAUGACACAAACACUAGGAAGCAGCUAGUCACACUUACCCAUAAUCAUAGAAUGCUGAAUGCUAAAGUAAAAAAGAAUGAGAAAAUUUUUGAACAAAAAUUAAAAGCAGUUUCUGAUAACUUAACAGAAACUCAAAAAAAGUUAAACAAGGUUGAAGGUGAAAAAAACAAGCUUCAACGUGAGUUCGAAACUUUCAAACGGGAUUCUGAAAAGAAAAAUGAGAAUUUAUCAGGUUAUAUUAAUGACUUAGAGCAGGAAACAAAUACUAAAAUCGUUAACUUAGAUUCAAAAGUCAACACAAUGUAUAAAGACCUUAAGUUGGAAACAAAGAAUACGCAAACAUGCAUGGAAAACGUACAGUCAAAUUUGAUGUCAAAAGUGGACGAGGCAACCUCCGAACUAAAACAAAAUCAAGAAACCAUGGGCACAGAUAUGAAAGAUAUAAAGACAAUGAUGACAAAAUUGUUACCAAAAACAGUUGCCAAAAAAACUAAAGUUGGAGUGAAUAAACCGUAUACUUCUCAUAAAUGUACAUAAAACGAUAUAGACAGGUAACCAGCUCGUUUUUAGCUCACCGUUCCUAGGGAACUCUGAGCUUUUGCCAUCACUUGGCGUCCGUCGUCGUCCGUCGUCGUCUGUCGUCGUUCGUCUGGUGUAAACUAUUUCAAACAUCUUCUCCUCUGAAACUACUAAACCAAUUCCAACCAAACUUAAGCUGAAUGAUGCUUAGGGUAUCUAGAAUAAAGUCUGUGUUUUAUUUACUGUUUCGUCAAAUAACAUGGCCGCCAUGGCUAAAAAUAGAACAUAGGGGUAAAAUGCAGUUUUUGUCUUAUAUCUCAAAAACCAAAGCAUUAAGAGCAAAUCUGACAUGGGAUUAAAGUGUUCAUUAGGUAAAGUUCUAUCAGCCCUGAAAUUUUCAGUUGAAUCUGUUAACCCAUUGUUGGGUUGCUGCCACUAAAUUGGUAAUUUUAAGGAAAUUUUGCAGUUUUUGGUUAUUAUCUUGAAUAUUAUUAACGAUAAGGAUAAACUGUGACAGCAAAAAUGUUCAGCAAGGUAAGAUCUACAAAUAAGUUCAUCUGAUCAAAAUUGUCAAUUGACCCCCUUAAGGAGUUAUUGCCCUUUAAGGACAAUUUUACACAAUUUGUUUAUCAUGUUUUCUAACUUUAAAAAUCUUCUUCUCUGAAACUACUGAACAAUUCCAACCAAACUUAAGCUGAAUAAUUCUAAGGGUAUCUAAAAUAAAGUUUGUGUUUUAUUUUCUGUUUCGUAAAAAACAUGGCCGCCAUGGCUAAAAAUAGAACGUAGGGGUAAAAUGCAAUGUUUGGCUAAUAUCUCAAAAACCAAAGCAUUCAGAGCUAAUCUGAUGAGGGGUAAAAAUGUUUAUUAGGCCAAGCUUUGUCAGCGCUGAAAUUUUCAAAUGAAUCUAACAACCCAUUGUUGGAUUGCUGCCACUUAAUUGGUAAUUUUAAGGAAAUUUUGCACAUUUUGGUUAUUAUCUUGAAUAUUAUUAAUGAUAAAGAUAAACUGUAUACAGCAAAAAUGUUCAGCAAAAUAAGAUCUACAAAUAAGUUCGUAUGACCAAAAUUGUCAAUUGUCCCCUUAAGGAGUUAUUGCCUUUUAAAAUAAAUUUUUCACAAUUUGUUCAUUUAGUUUGCUUAUUUUAAAAAAUCUUCUCCUUUGAAACUGCUGAAUCAAUUUCAGCCAAACUUGGGCUGAAUGAGUUUCAGAGUAUCUAGUAUAAAUUUUGUAUUUUAUCUUUUUGUACGUCAAGAAACAUAGCCACUAUGGCUAAAAUGAAACAUAGGGGUAAAAUGUAUUUCUUUGAUUUUGAAGAAAAUAUGACAGAUAAAAACAUUUCAAUGGCAGUUUUAAGCCAUUCAUUAAUAUAUAUUGAAAUGCAAAAAUAAUCAUUGAUGAAAGAUUUAAGCAAAAAAAUACAUGUGAGCGACUCAGGCUCUUGAGAGCCUCUUGUUUAACAAAAAUAUGAUUGUGGCUGUUCAUAUAAUUGAAAUAUUUACAUGUAUUGUAGUUUAAAUAAUUUAUCUAUCAGUAUAAACAGUAUAGUUUAAAAGUUAUAUUCAGUGAGGAUAUACUUUUUUAUAUUAAAAUACAUUCAUGACGAUACAAACAUGCAUAUUAUAAUAAUAAACUUCAAAUUUUACCUUGAUGCAUUAUACAAGUGUGAAGAUAUUUGCCAUGAAAAGCGUAAAAUA